AUGGGUGUUUCUCUAGCCUCUGAACCUGCCUGCUUGUUUUGUGAUUCCAUGAUUAUAACCUUGAACUCCGUUCCAGUAUCCUGUUCGUGCAUCACCUACCUUGCCUGGAGUUGUUCCCACGUCUCGCCGCUCAACGAUCCUCUGGACUCCUCUCUCCACGUCUGCCCGCCUGCCUCACGCUCUGAACUCCUCAUCUGGUCCAACCUUCCUCAGUUCACCUCCGCUCUGGUUCCGAUUCCUGACCGUGAGAGUGAGUAUUACGACAGUGUGUCGCAGAGACCUCUCCAUAAGCCUGGAGUCUCCAGGUGGGACGGUGUCUCUGCUGUUGGACAUGCCUCCACACUGAGUCUGAAGAACCGGACCCUGAUGAGGUUGCACUGCUGGGGGGAGCAGCCGCGGGGCCUGUGGACCAUCAAGGUGACCAACCACAAAGGGACGGAGAGCAGCUGCACAAGGCCAAGUGUGGAGAAGGUUGCAUCAGCUUUGCUCAGCAUCACACUCAUCAUGUACGGCACAUUCAACCCAAACCAGACCAGCAGAGAGUGA
RNAcentral lists this long non-coding RNA (546 nucleotides) under Nothobranchius furzeri (turquoise killifish). RNAcentral describes it as "lncRNA (ENSNFUG00015016804.1)". The record is from RNAcentral. Lineage: Eukaryota; Metazoa; Chordata; Actinopteri; Cyprinodontiformes; Nothobranchiidae.